Molecule: ribosomal RNA, 229 nt
Filed under: uncultured bacterium
Lineage: Bacteria
Description: partial 16S ribosomal RNA
Rfam family: Bacterial small subunit ribosomal RNA
Source: RNAcentral
UGCGCAGGCGGGAAAUUAAGUCAGUGGUGAAAGCCCCGAGCUCAACUUGGGAACUGCCAUUGAUACUGAUUUUCUUGAAUAUAGUUGAGGUAGGCGGAAUACAACAUGAAGCGGUGAAAUGCAUAGAUAUGUUGCAGAACACCAACUGCGAAGGCAGCUUACUAAACUAUUAUUGACGCUGAGGCACGAAAGCGUGGGGAGCGAACAGGAUUAGAUACCCUGGUAGUCC